AAUAAUAAUAAUAAUUCCUUAAACCGAUCUAUGCUAACAUGGAGUAACACAGCACAUGAAUAUCACAAUAAUCAAGCUCAAAUCGACCGUUUCAAGAUCGAAGCUUAGUUUGAACAUUUUGUCGAACACUUGGUAUGCAUUAAACUAGCCCCAAUCAGCUUCCUCGGGCCAUGUUUGCGGUCUUCAAUCUCAACUCAUGAGCAAUAUUAUGUGGAACUAAAACAUCAAGGUUAAACUACAACAUGCAAGGAGUAAGAUAGAUAAAAAACACAGCUUAAAACACACGAAAACCAAGCUGGAAUCGUCAUCAAAUAUGCGGGUUUGAUCUGAUUUUGCAAAUCUGGGUUUGAACCCAAGUCAAGCAAACAGGUUGAGUGCCCAUAUUCAAGCCCCGACACCUAUCACAUACGAGAUCUAAGGGAAACAUUACUUGAUCCGAAUGAAAGUAGGUAACAUGAGCUUUCAAAUGCAAUAAACAUCACAGAGAAUGACGCACCGAACAACAUCAAAACGACCUCUCCAAGAAGCACACAUGCAACACUUAGAAAAAUUUCAACCUCAGAAAUCAGUUUUCCGGGCCGGUUUUCCUCUUGAUUUUCAUGAUCAAAACAUGCUCAAACUCGAAAAUAAAUACACCUAGGGUGCUUACCUUUCUUCCUAGUUUCUUUUUCAAGUGGUUCUUGGCCGAUGAAACCGACAAAUUAUCCUCGGGGGCCUGUGGAAGUUGGCUUCUUCAACUGGAAAUGAGAUCUGCAAAAAAACGAACUGACAACGAAGGUUUUCGUUGAGCUCUAACAUUAGACUUCAAGACGUAUUUUGUUGGAAAAAUUGACACCACGCCAAACUAUAUGUAUUCUAGUCUGGGUUAAAAGUCAAUAUUUUCCUCAUUUGUCUCUCAACUUUCUCAAAAACACUGGCUUUCCUCACUCGUGACCAACCAGUCUCGACACUUAGAAAAAUUUCGGACUUUCUUGGCCCGACAGGAGGGCACUGUUUCGGGGGGCUUUAGGAGGCCUUCCCGAUCUCCAUUUUGGACGUGCGACCUAUGGAUGGA
This 1054-nucleotide long non-coding RNA is filed under the name Eucalyptus grandis. RNAcentral's name for it is "long non-coding RNA (EGRA_LNC001994)". Lineage: Eukaryota; Viridiplantae; Streptophyta; Magnoliopsida; Myrtales; Myrtaceae. The record is from RNAcentral.